GAGUAAGUUCGGGCUGCGUGAAUAAAUAAUAAAAAUUCGUGGUAGUGAUAAGAGGAUUAUAUUGAUCAGCGUUAAAAGGAAAAAAAUUAUCGAUCAAUGUCAUUCGUUGGAGAAUAAAUAACGGAAUGUUCACAGGGUGUCCCGUCAGAAACGAGCAUUUUUCGAACUCAAGUCGAAGACUUUCAAUUUUUGCAAUUUUUUCCCUACACGCGAUAACCGAGCAAAAAUCACCGAUGAGCUAUUUUCAAGGGCGCUCCCUGCCGGAGCGACUGGAAGUAGGGCAAAAAUGUUUGGGACCGAUUCCGAGCAAACGUCCUGCAAAAAUGUUCAGUGGUUAGGUCUGAGAGCGUCGCGAAAAACAAUCUAGUACGCUCGAGUGCCACCAGGGACUUUGUUACGAGUUAUACGAGGGAUUUCUACAAAAUUGUUUGUAAUAAAUUCGUCUUCGCACUGGAAUUUACUAAAAUGACCAUCGACAACGGAACACCCUGUGUAUUUGCAGAGAAAUAUAGCGAAUAAAUAAAGAAAAAAAUAAAAACACCAACGGAGAAACGACACAUGUUCACGGAUAACAUUUACGAAGUAUUUAACCUUGACAAAAACGUGAUAUUUAUUUACGAAGAGGAAAACGUCGCAGGCCACAGUAGGCAGCACGUGUUUUACAAUCUACACGUACAUCGAGAUCCGAUGUGUGUCAAGUGGACGAAGAACACGUUUUCACGAUUGUCACGAAAAAUGUUCGCAGCUAUCCGAACUUUCGAUGGUUAGCCCUCAGGUUAAUCAAUUAGGCGGAUUUUUGUUGGGAGGAUAGUACACAAGAUCCACGAUGCAUCAAGAUGUCAACGUAUUUGGUGCCGCCCUCGUUGGCCUCUCUCGGUCUCGAGGACGCAGCUUCCGGUCGGCUUAAUUGGAGCACUCCUCGUCGAUGUGCAAUUAAACGUCGAAGACGCUUCCCGGAGUCGCUGUCGGUCGGAUUCCAGCGCAAACUGUUCCAUCAAUGUAUGACCGAUGAAUAAAAAACGCCUGUCGAAUA
Venturia canescens is the source of this 1033-nucleotide long non-coding RNA. RefSeq lists it as uncharacterized. The transcript is spliced from 3 exons. The record is from RefSeq and is a predicted model, not a curated record. NCBI's taxonomy places the organism in Eukaryota, Metazoa, Arthropoda, Insecta, Hymenoptera, Ichneumonidae.